AGUGGGGAAUAUUGCGCAAUGGGCGAAAGCCUGACGCAGCAACGCCGCGUGCGGGAUGAAGGCCUUCGGGUUGUAAACCGCUUUCAGCAGGGAAGAAGCCGCAAGGUGACGGUACCUGCAGAAGAAGCACCGGCUAACUACGUGCCAGCAGCCGCGGUAAUACGUAGGGUGCAAGCGUUGUCCGGAUUUAUUGGGCGUAAAGAGCUCGUAGGCGGUCUGUUACGUCGGUUGUGAAAAUCCGAGGCUUAACCUCGGACCUGCAUCCGAUACGGGCAGACUUGAGUGUGGUAGGGGAGACUGGAAUUCCUGGUGUAGCGGUGAAAUGCGCAGAUAUCAGGAGGAACACCGAUGGCGAAGGCAGGUCUCUGGGCCACAACUGACGCUGAGGAGCGAAAGCGUGGGGAGCAAA
Molecule: ribosomal RNA, 409 nt
Filed under: uncultured Actinomycetes bacterium
Lineage: Bacteria; Bacillati; Actinomycetota; Actinomycetes
Description: bacterial SSU rRNA
Rfam family: Bacterial small subunit ribosomal RNA
Source: RNAcentral